GUACAUACAUAUUUAUGAGGACAUCUUAACGAAUGCCAUAGUAUUUCCUGUACCGGUUGGGGUAUAUAAACUGCAUAAGCUGAUGACUUUCAGCGGGCUAAGGUUUUGAUAACAUGUACUGGAAUGUCUUGGCUUGAGGCAGUAGAUGCUGUCCCUAUCCUGAAUGAGUGUCCAGAAUAUCUGUUGGCAUUCAAGCCGAGUUGUGCCAACAAUAGUCGUACAUACACCAUAAAUUUAGAAGUGGUGAGGGUAGCCCCGUGAAGUGACAGGAUAGGGGGUAAAGCGUGAGUGGGUACAGAAAGUAGGUAUGCAUCAAAAACUUUCACUGGGCACCAUAAAU
Molecule: non-coding RNA, 340 nt
Organism: Pelobates cultripes (western spadefoot toad)
Lineage: Eukaryota; Metazoa; Chordata; Amphibia; Anura; Pelobatidae
Source: the annotation of a GenBank genome assembly